AACGAACGCUGGCGGCAGGCCUAAUACAUGCAAGUCGAACGAACCUUCGGGUUAGUGGCGCACGGGUGCGUAACGCGUGGGAAUGUACACCUUGGUAAGGAACAACGUCGGGAAACUGACGCUAAUACCUUAUAAUAUCUCCGGAUCAAAGAUUUAUCGCCAAGGGAUCAGCCCGCGUCUGAUUGGCUAGUUGGUGGGGUAAUGGCCCACCAAGGCGAUGAUCAGUAGCUGGUGUGAGAGGAUGAUCAGCCACACUGGAACUGAGACACGGUCCAGACUCCUACGGGAGGCAGCAGUAAGGAAUAUUGGACAAUGGGGGCAACCCUGAUCCAGCCAUGCCGCGUGUGUGAAGAAGGCCUUAGGGUUGUAAAGCACCUUCAAACGUGAAGAUAAUGACGGUAGCGUUAGAAGAAGCUCCGGCUAAAUUCGUGCCUGCCGCCGCCGUAA
Molecule: ribosomal RNA, 447 nt
Filed under: uncultured bacterium
Lineage: Bacteria
Description: partial 16S ribosomal RNA
Rfam family: Bacterial small subunit ribosomal RNA
Source: RNAcentral